This 1237-nucleotide long non-coding RNA is filed under the name Chloebia gouldiae (Gouldian finch). RNAcentral describes it as "Erythrura gouldiae (Gouldian finch) lncRNA (ENSEGOG00005001810.1)". Lineage: Eukaryota; Metazoa; Chordata; Aves; Passeriformes; Passeridae. The record is from RNAcentral.
CUUGUAUGUACACAGGGAGGGGAGGGGACAUGGGGUCACCCCCUGCUCCUGUGCUUUCCUCAUGCUCCUGACAUGCUGGAAAAAGCAAAAGCAUCUCCCUCUCUCUCACCUCUAGCUCUGUUUUUCUGCUCCAUCAUCCGAGGAAUAGACUUGCGAGGUGAAUGGAGAAUGACCUCAGCCUUGUGCUUGGGCAGGUGUGUGUUGGAGAUGGAUUUUGUAACCAGCAGUGACCUGGGAGAUCAAGCAAGCUCUGGACACUGCAGCUCAGAAUGAUGCUAUUGCAACGUGAUCAAUCUGCAUCAGCAAAUCUGCAGGAAAGACUGGAGUUUUCCAUGAAUUGCAGGUUCAACAUGAGGCAACUCUGUCUAUAUGAUGAAAAAAGAAAGAGGUAAGUGUUACAGUGGGGAAUAUAGAAAUCUGUUUAGCCUGCAGCACAAAUUAAAUAUUCCUGCUGCUCUGGUUGGCACUGGAAGGGCCUCUGCUGCAGCUCUAAGAUUGAUUUUUAUAUGCUGUACUUCAAAGCAAAUGGAAUCAGCUGGAGGGAACCCAUAGGAGAACACCGCUGCUGACACAUCUCAGAAACAUGGGCUCCACAGGAGGACUGAAAUAACUGGGUCAACAGAGUGUACAGAAUGAAGGACUUAUACAGCCUUCAAAUUUGUUAAAAGUCUCUUUGAAAAGAAAAACUUCCUUGACAUGUCUGUAGGACAGGAAAUGCACAGCUUAACUUGCAGUUACUGGAGGAUGUUAUAUAUGUAUUUAACAAGCCCUUGUGGGGCUGGAAAAUGUACAAUUGACUCUUCCUUGGGACAAGGGUGAUUUGGAUAAGCUGCCAAGUUCCUCCUGGUCCUCUUUUACAAUAGUGCAAAUACUGACAUACAGUUCUAUUGUUGAUAUCUUUUGCUAUAUUUGCCAUAAAAUUGAGUUUUCGAAUCACAAAUGCUUUUAAAAAUUGUCAUUGGAUUCUGGGUCCAUAUUUACUAUUGCACAAGUAAGCUACUCUGCUUACACUUGUGUUGACUCUACACCACAUGCCAUGGUUGCUGAAAAUACAGUAAGUUCCUUUGGUUUUGAGGUCACUAUUCCAGGGCCCUGCCAGCACAUUUUAGAGAUGUACAUUUCAUUUCUCUCAUGCUCUAGCUUUGACCCCAAGCUUCUACUGACAAAGGUGCUAAUGUAUGCUAAUAUAUGCAUGCACCUCUAAACAUCUUGAAUAAAACCAGUACUUGAAUAAAAC